This 256-nucleotide ribosomal RNA is filed under the name Morganella morganii subsp. morganii. RNAcentral describes it as "partial 16S ribosomal RNA". It matches the Rfam family "Bacterial small subunit ribosomal RNA", at positions 1 to 253 of the family's 1533-position model. Lineage: Bacteria; Pseudomonadati; Pseudomonadota; Gammaproteobacteria; Enterobacterales; Morganellaceae. The record is from RNAcentral.
UAAUUGAAGAGUUUGAUCAUGGCUCAGAUUGAACGCUGGCGGCAGGCCUAACACAUGCAAGUCGGGCGGUAACAGAGAGAAGCUUGCUUCUCUGCUGACGAGCGGCGGACGGGUGAGUAAUGUAUGGGGAUCUGCCUGAUGGCGGGGGAUAACUACUGGAAACGGUAGCUAAUACCGCAUAAUGUCUGCGGACCAAAGCGGGGGACCUCCGGGCCUCGCGCCAUCAGAUGAACCCAUAUGGGAUUAGCUAGUAGGU